GCCCAGCCAACAUGCACUUGUGUUUACAACUAAUGGAUCACAGCCAGUUCCAGAUUUCUUUGUUCUUUCUCCUCUCCCACUGCUUCUCUUGACUAGCCUUUA
This 102-nucleotide small RNA is filed under the name Otolemur garnettii (small-eared galago). RNAcentral's name for it is "Y RNA (ENSOGAG00000029404.1)". It matches the Rfam family "Y RNA", at positions 21 to 96 of the family's 96-position model. From Rfam's summary of the family: Y RNAs are components of the Ro ribonucleoprotein particle (Ro RNP), in association with Ro60 and La proteins. The Y RNAs and Ro60 and La proteins are well conserved, but the function of the Ro RNP is not known. In humans the RNA component can be one of four small RNAs -- hY1, hY3, hY4 and hY5. Lineage: Eukaryota; Metazoa; Chordata; Mammalia; Primates; Galagidae. The record is from RNAcentral.